GCUACCACUGAGUACCCUGCCCUGAACCUUAGUGACUGUUACUAGCCGGACUCCACCCAGUACCCUGCCCUGAACCUUAGUGACUGUUACUAGCCAGCUACCACUGAGUACCCUGCCCUGAACCUUAGCCACUGUUACUAGCCAGCUACCACUCAGUACCCUGCCCCGAACCUUAGUGACUGUUACUAGCCAGCUACCACUCAGUACCCUGCCCUGAACCUUAGUGACUGUUACUAGCCAGCUACCACUCAGUACCCUGCCCUGAACCUUAGUGACUGUUACUAGCCAGCUACCACUUAGUACCCUGCCCUGAACCUUAGUGACUGUUACUAGCCAGCUACCACUCAGUACCCUGCCCUGAACCUUAGUCACUGUUACUAGCCAGCUACCACUCAGUACCCUGCCCUGAACCUUAGUCACUGUUACUAGCCAGCUACCAUUUAGUACCCUGCCCUGAACCUUAGUGACUGUUACUAGCCAGCUACCACUUAGUACCCUGCCCUGAACCCUAGUCACUGUUACUAGCCAGCUACCACUCAGUACCCUGCCCUGAACCUUAGUGACUGUUACUAGCCAGCUACCACUUAGUACCCUGCCCUGAACCUUAGUGACUGUUACUAGCCAGCUACCAUUCAGUACCCUGCCCUGAACCUUAGUGACUGUUACUAGCCUCCCCCAGUACCCUGCCCUGAACCUUAGUGUCUGUUACUAGCCGGACUCCACCCAGUACCCUGCCCUGAACCUUAGUGACUGUUACUAGCCUCCCCCAGUACCCUGCCCUGAACCUUAGUGACUGUUACUAGCCUCCCCCAGUACCCUGCCCUGAACCUUAGUGACUGUUACUAGCCUCCCCCAGUACCCUGCCCUGAACCUUAGUGACUGUUACUAGCCUCCCCCAGUACCCUGCCCUGAACCUUAGUGACUGUUACUAGCCUCCCCUAGUACCCUGCGCCGAACCUUAGUGACUGUUACUAGCCGGACUCCACCCAGUACCCUGCCCUGAACCUUAGUGACUGUUACUAGCCAGCUACCACUGAGUACCCUGCCCUGAACCUUAGUCACUGUUACUAGCCAGCUACCACUCAGUACCCUGUACCUUAGCCACUGUUACUAGCCAGCUACCACUCAGUACCCUGCCCCGAACCUUAGUGACUGUUACUAGCCAGCUACCACUCAGUACCCUGGCCUGAACCUUAAUGACUGUUACUAGCCGGACUCCACACAGUACCUUGCCCUGAACCUUAGUGACUGUUACUAGCCAGCUACCAAUCGGUACCCUGCCCUGAACCUUAGUGACUGUUACUAGCCGGCCUCCACCCAUACCCUGCCCUGAACCUUAGUGACUGUUACUAGCCUCCCCCAGUACCCUGCUCUGAACCUUAGUGACUGUUACU
Molecule: long non-coding RNA, 1394 nt
Organism: Oncorhynchus tshawytscha (Chinook salmon)
Lineage: Eukaryota; Metazoa; Chordata; Actinopteri; Salmoniformes; Salmonidae
Source: Ensembl